CCUACGGGUGGCAGCAGUGGGGAAUAUUGCGCAAUGGGCGAAAGCCUGACGCAGCGACGCCGCGUGAGGGAUGAAGGUCUUCUGAUCGGAAACCUCUGUCAGCAGGGAAGAAAGGUCACUGAGCUAAUCAGCAGUGAAUUGACGGGACCUGCAAAGGAAGCACCGGCUAACACCGUGCCAGCAGCCGCGGUAAUACGGAGGGUGCGAGCGUUAAUCGGAAUUACUGGGCGUAAAGCGCUCGUAGGCGGUAUGUCAAGUAAAGGGUGAAGUCCCCGCGCUCAACGUGGGCACUGCCUUUGAAACUGGCAAACUGGAGUGUGUGAGAGGAUAGUGGAAUGCCAGGUGUAGGAGUGAAAUCCGUAGAUAUCUGGAGGAACAUCAGUGGCGAAGGCGACUAUCUGGCACAUAACUGACGCUGAGGAGCGAAAGCGUGGGUAGCAAACAGGAUUAGAUACCCGAGUAGUC
Molecule: ribosomal RNA, 465 nt
Filed under: uncultured bacterium
Lineage: Bacteria
Description: partial 16S ribosomal RNA
Rfam family: Bacterial small subunit ribosomal RNA
Source: RNAcentral